Molecule: unclassified non-coding RNA, 368 nt
Filed under: Hevea brasiliensis (rubber tree)
Lineage: Eukaryota; Viridiplantae; Streptophyta; Magnoliopsida; Malpighiales; Euphorbiaceae
Source: RNAcentral
ACACAACAACAAUUAAGCCUUAAUUCCAACUAGUUGAGGUUUAUUAUAUGAAUUCUCUUUCAUCAGUCAGCUUUUUUAGACACUAGAUCCACAUAAUAUCCAAAACUUAUAAAUCCUAUAUUACUUCCCGACACGUUAUCUUAGGCCUAUCAUACUUUCGUACGGUGGCAUUUGACUUCCUAUGUUGUACAUGACCAAACCAUCUUUUAAAAAACUCACUAUCAUUUCAUCUCCAAUAUUUGUUACAUGAUUCUUUGAUGGAUGUGGUGAUUACUAAUUUUAUCUAUUAUCGUGUUACCAAACAUCUAUCUUAAUAUCCACAUUUCUGCUACACUCAUUUUGUGAGUAUGUUGUACUAUAGAUACCCA